This 254-nucleotide ribosomal RNA is filed under the name uncultured bacterium. RNAcentral describes it as "partial 16S ribosomal RNA". It matches the Rfam family "Bacterial small subunit ribosomal RNA", at positions 524 to 777 of the family's 1533-position model. The record is from RNAcentral.
UACGGAGGGUGCGAGCGUUGUCCGGAAUCAUUGGGCGUAAAGGGCGCGUAGGUGGCGGGACAAGCGUGCGGUGAAAGCUCGGGGCUCAACCCCGCGUCGGCCGUGCGAACUGUUUUGCUUGAGCACUGUAGAGGCAGGCGGAAUUCCGGGUGUAGCGGUGGAAUGCGUAGAGAUCCGGAAGAACACCGGUGGCGAAGGCGGCCUGCUGGGCAGUAGCUGACACUGAGGCGCGACAGCGUGGGGAGCAAACAGGG